GAUGAAGAACGCAGCAAAAUGCGAUACUUGGUGUGAAUUGCAGAAUCCCGUGAACCAUCGAGUUUUUGAACGCAAGUUGCGCCCGAAGCCUUUUGGCCGAGGGCACGUCUGCCUGGGCGUCACGCAUCGCGUCGCCCCCCACAAUUCUCCGUAAAAGGAACAUGUGUUUUGGGGGCGGAUAUUGGUCUCCCGUGCUCAUGGCGUGGUUGGCCGAAAUAGGAGUCCUUUCGAUGGACGCACGAACUAGUGGUGGUCGUAAAAACCCUCGUCUUUUGUUUCGUGCUGUUGCUCGCAAGGUAAACUCUUUAAAAACCCCAAUGUGUCGUCUCUUGACGACGCUUCGACCGCGACCCCAGGUCAGGCGGGACUACCCGCUGAGUUUAAGCAUAUCAAUAAGCGGAGGA
RNAcentral lists this unclassified non-coding RNA (404 nucleotides) under soil metagenome. RNAcentral describes it as "partial contains 5.8S ribosomal RNA, internal transcribed spacer 2, and large subunit ribosomal RNA". The stretch from base 1 to 122 matches the Rfam family "5.8S ribosomal RNA", at positions 35 to 154 of the family's 154-position model. The record is from RNAcentral.